UUUUAGAUUUGAUUUUGGUUUGUUGUAGAUUUAAGAUAAUAUUAUCUAUAUUUGAUUUAUGUAAAUGGGCAAUGAUUGUUUACCCUGGUAGUGUAUUGUUAGUAGAAAUGUAGUUCCAGAAUAAUCGGCUAUGCUUCAUAAGUUUAAACUCUAAUUGUUUUGGUUUUUAUUUUAGUGAUAGUCUUUUUGCUUGAUGGUGAAAUUAGGAGUGAUGUUAAUAAUUGAUAAAAAUUGAGUGUCUAUUAUGAACGACCCGGAUUAGUACCCGGUUAGAGAGAUUUAAUUAGUGCAGGAGUAUUUUGAAACUGAAAGAAUAUUGGCAGGCUCUUAAAUUAUCCUUGGAGGUUGAGUUGUAAUCGAGAACCCUCGUUUUCAUCUUUAGUUUUAGGUUUGUGUAUGAUCGUCUUUUAUAUGCUUAAGGUUUUUAAGAUUAAGUUUUUCUUGUUAAGAUAGAUAUAUAUCCAAUUUAUAUUAAAGAUUUUCUUGACCUACAAUAAAGGGCUUAUUUGGAUAAUUAAAUGAGAUUUUAGUUAGAAAUUGUAAAAGACAGUAUGAAGUAUUUAUUUAUACUUUUGAAGAGUAUUUAGGAGCGGUACAAAUCAUCCAUCAAUUGCCUAAAGGGGAGUAAGUUGUAGUAAAGUAGGACUAGGGGAACCUGGUCUUAGUAAUAGAUUG
RNAcentral lists this non-coding RNA (675 nucleotides) under Gnathostoma nipponicum. Lineage: Eukaryota; Metazoa; Nematoda; Chromadorea; Rhabditida; Gnathostomatidae. The record is from RNAcentral.